GCAUAUCAAUAAGCGGAGGAAAAGAAACUAACAAGGAUUCCCCUAGUAACGGCGAGUGAAGCGGGAACAGCUCAAAUUUGAAAUCUCAGCGCAAGCUGCGAAUUGUAGUUUAGAGAAACGUUUUCGGGGCCGGCAGCCAGUACAAGUUCUUUGGAACAAGGCAUCACAGAGGGUGAAAAUCCCGUCUUUGACUGGCUGCUUGGUUCCAUGUGAUACGUUUUCCAAGAGUCGGUUUGUUUGGGAAUGCAGACCAAAAUGGGUGGUAAAUACCAUCUAAAGCUAAAUAUUGGCGAGAGACCGAUAGCGAACAAGUACCGUGAGGGAAAGAUGAAAAGAACUUUGAAAAGAGAGUUAAACAGUGCGUGAAAUUGUCAAAAGGGAAACGUUUAAAACCAGUAUUGCGGGCAGAAACUCAGGUUCCAUUUAUGGUGCUGUAUUUUUCUGUCGGCGAGUCAACAUCAGUUUUGCUUGGAGUAAAACGCCAGGGGAAGGUAGCCUUCGGGUGUUAUAGCCUCUGGUAAUGCUCUGGGCGGGACUGAGGACUGCAGCGUUCUUUGGGUCUACCACACCAACGCUUAGGAUGUUGACGAAAUGGUUUUAAGCGACCCGUCUUGAAACACGGACCAAGGAGUCUAACAUAUAUGCGAGUAUUUGGGUGGCAAACCCUUAUGCGUAAUGAAAGUGAAAAGGUGGGAUCCUUUGCUGGUGCACCAUCGACCGCGCCAGAUUAUUGCUAUCUCGGCGUGAGUAUGAGCAUACAUGUUGGGACCCGAAAGAUGGUGAACUAUGCCUGAAUAGGGUGAAGCCAGAGGAAACUCUGGUGGAGGCUCGUAGCGGUUCUGACGUGCAAAUCGAUCGUCAAAUUUGGGUAUAGGGGCGAAAGACUAAUCGAACCAUCUAGUAGCUGGUCCCUCGAA
RNAcentral lists this ribosomal RNA (917 nucleotides) under Boothiomyces macroporosus. RNAcentral's name for it is "LSU rRNA". It matches the Rfam family "Eukaryotic large subunit ribosomal RNA", at positions 38 to 965 of the family's 3401-position model. Lineage: Eukaryota; Fungi; Chytridiomycota; Chytridiomycetes; Rhizophydiales; Terramycetaceae. The record is from RNAcentral.